AUUGAACGCUGGCGGCAGGCCUAACACAUGCAAGUCGAACGGUAACAGGAAACAGCUUGCUGUUUCGCUGACGAGUGGCGGACGGGUGAGUAAUGUCUGGGAAACUGCCUGAUGGAGGGGGAUAACUACUGGAAACGGUAGCUAAUACCGCAUAACGUCGCAAGACCAAAGAGGGGGACCUUCGGGCCUCUUGCCAUCGGAUGUGCCCAGCUGGGAUUAGCUAGUAGGUGGGUUAACGGCUCUCCUAGGCGACGAUCCAUAGCUGGUCUGAGAGGAUGACCAGCCACACUGGAACUGAGACACGGUCCAGACUCCUACGGGAGGCAGCAGUGGGGAAUAUUGCACAAUGGGCGCAAGCCUGAUGCAGCCAUGCCGCGUGUAUGAAGAAGGCCUUCGGGUCGUAAAGUACUUUCAGCGGGGAGGAAGGGAGUAAAGUUAAUACCUUUGCUCAUUGACGUUACCCGCAGAAGAAGCACCGGCUAACUCCG
This 488-nucleotide ribosomal RNA is filed under the name uncultured bacterium. RNAcentral describes it as "partial 16S ribosomal RNA". It matches the Rfam family "Bacterial small subunit ribosomal RNA", at positions 30 to 505 of the family's 1533-position model. The record is from RNAcentral.